Molecule: ribosomal RNA, 424 nt
Filed under: Phyllodactylus delsolari
Lineage: Eukaryota; Metazoa; Chordata; Lepidosauria; Squamata; Phyllodactylidae
Description: partial 12S ribosomal RNA
Rfam family: Bacterial small subunit ribosomal RNA
Source: RNAcentral
UAGAUACCCCACUAUACCCGGCCGUUAACCUCGAUAGCCCCCUUCCACAAACCACUAUCCGCCAGAGGACUACAAGUGAAAAACUUAAAACUCUAAGGACUUGACGGUGCCCCACACCAACCUAGAGGAGCCUGUCCUAUAAUCGAUACCCCACGCUAAACCUCACCCCCCCUCGUCACCAUCAGCCUAUAUACCGCCGUCGCCAGCCUACCUAAUGAUAGACAUAAAGUAGGCUAAAUAGUACCACCACUAACAUGUCAGGUCAAGGUGUAGCUGAUGGGUGGGGCAGAGAUGGGCUACAUUUUCUCACCACGAGAAAACCAACCAUAAGCUACAUGAAAUUCUUAGCUAACCGGCGGAUUUAGCAGUAAACACAGGUAAGACUUGCCGUGUUGAAGCCUGCUCUGGGGCGCGUACACACCGC